AAGGAAUAUUGGUCAAUGGACGGAAGUCUGAACCAGCCAUCCCGCGUGCAGGAUGACGGCCCUAUGGGUUGUAAACUGCUUUUAGCAGAGACGAAACGCCAUCAUUUAUGAUGGUCUGACGGUAUCUGCAGAAUAAGCACCGGCUAACUCCGUGCCAGCAGCCGCGGUAAUACGGAGGGUGCAAGCGUUAUCCGGAAUCACUGGGUUUAAAGGGUGCGUAGGCGGAAAUUUAAGUCAGUGGUGAAAUCUUGUCGCUUAACGAUAAAAUUGCCAUUGAUACUGAAUUUCUUGAAUUGGGUUGAGGUUAGCGGAAUGUGACAUGUAGCGGUGAAAUGCAUAGAUAUGUCAUGGAACACCAAUCGCGAAGGCAGCUAGCUGGGCCUUGAUUGGCGCUGAGGCACGAAAGCGUGGGGAUCAAAC
This 420-nucleotide ribosomal RNA is filed under the name uncultured bacterium. RNAcentral describes it as "bacterial SSU rRNA". It matches the Rfam family "Bacterial small subunit ribosomal RNA", at positions 356 to 773 of the family's 1533-position model. The record is from RNAcentral.